Molecule: ribosomal RNA, 301 nt
Filed under: uncultured bacterium
Lineage: Bacteria
Description: partial 16S ribosomal RNA
Rfam family: Bacterial small subunit ribosomal RNA
Source: RNAcentral
CAGCCGCCGCGGUAAUACGUAGGUGGCAAGCGUGGUCCGGAAUUAUUGGGCGUAAAGCGCGCGCAGGCGGAUAGGUCAGUCUGUCUUAAAAGUUCGGGGCUUAACCCCGUGAUGGGAUGGAAACUGCCAAUCUAGAGUAUCGGAGAGGAAAGUGGAAUUCCUAGUGUAGCGGUGAAAUGCGUAGAUAUUAGGAAGAACACCAGUGGCGAAGGCGACUUUCUGGACGAAAACUGACGCUGAGGCGCGAAAGCCAGGGGAGCAAACGGGAUUAGAUACCCCAGUAGUCCCUGUCUCUUAUACA